GAUGGACGCUGGCGGCGUGCCUAAUACAUGCAAGUCGAGCGAAUGGAUUAAGAGCUUGCUCUUAUGAAGUUAGCGGCGGACGGGUGAGUAACACGUGGGUAACCUGCCCAUAAGUCUGGGAUAACUCCGGGAAACCGGGGCUAAUACCGGAUAACAUUUUGAACCGCAUGGUUCGAAAUUGAAAGGCGGCUUCGGCUGUCACUGAUGGAUGGACCCGCGUCGCAUUAGCUAGUUGGUGAGGUAACGGCUCACCAAGGCAACGAUGCGUAGCCGACCUGAGAGGGUGAUCGGCCACACUGGGACUGUGACACGGCCCAGACUCCUACGGGAGGCAGCAGUAGGGAAUCUUCCGCAAUGGACGAAAGUCUGACGGAGCAACUCCGCGUGAGUGAUGAAGGCUUUCGGGUCGUAAAACUCUGUUGUUAGGGAAGAACAAGUGCUAGUUGAAUAAGCUGGCACCUUGACGGUACCUAACCAGAAAGCCACGGCUAACUACGUGCCAGCCGCCGCCGUAA
RNAcentral lists this ribosomal RNA (515 nucleotides) under uncultured bacterium. RNAcentral's name for it is "partial 16S ribosomal RNA". It matches the Rfam family "Bacterial small subunit ribosomal RNA", at positions 28 to 523 of the family's 1533-position model. The record is from RNAcentral.